RNAcentral lists this non-coding RNA (23 nucleotides) under Cricetulus griseus (Chinese hamster). Lineage: Eukaryota; Metazoa; Chordata; Mammalia; Rodentia; Cricetidae. The record is from RNAcentral.
GCUACGCCAGCCACUGUGUCCGC